UAAAGCUACAAAGAGCUAAUGGGGAAUGCCUUGGUACUGACAGCCGAUGAAGGACGUGUAAAGCUGCGAUAAGCUGCGGGGAACUGCUAAAAGGUCUUGAUCCGCAGAAAUCCGAAUGGGGAAACCCUAUCAAGUUAAAACUUGAUAACUCACAAGUGAAUACAUAGCUUGUGUAGAGGAAAGCCUGUGAACUGAAACAUCUUAGUAACAGGACGAAGAGAAAAUAACCCAAUGAUUCCGAGAGUAGCGGCGAGCGAAAUUGGAAGAGCCUAAAUUGUGUGUACGUGAUAGCCUGCAAGCGUUGUGCACAUGAGGUUGUGGGACUUGCAUCAUAUUUUGCAGAAUAUGGAUUGAGUUAGAAAAUUAUUUAUUAGUUAAAGUCAACUGGGAAGUUGCGCCAUAGAGAGUGAUAGCCUCGUAAACGACAAUAAAUAAUCUCAAGUAAGUAUCCCGAGUAAGGCGGGGCACGUGAAACCCUGUCUGAAUCCACCGGGACCAUCCGGUAAGGCUAAAUACUAGUCAGUGACCGAUAGUGAACGAGUACAGUGAUGGAAAGGCGAAAAGAACAGUGAGAAGCUGAGUGAAAUAGACCCUGAAACCGUUAGCUUACAACCAGUCAGAGCACAAUUAAUUGUGUUAUGGCGUGCCUGUUGAAGAAUGAGCCGGCGAGUUAUUUUUUGUUGCGAGGUUAAGGAGAUCAUAUCCGGAGCCACAGGGAAACCGAGUCUGAAUAGGGCGUUAAGUAACAGGAAAUAGACCCGAACCUUGGUGAUCUAACCUUGACCAGGAUGAAGCGUGGGUAACACUACGUGGAGGUCCGAACCAACCGAUGUUGAAAAAUCGGUGGAUGAGUUGAGGUUAGGGGUGAAAUGCCAAUCGAACCAAGAGCUAGCUGGUUCUCCCCGAAAUGCGUUUAGGCACAGCGUUGGAUUUAUCUUGCAGGAGGUAGAGCACUGGUUUUGUGCGGGCGUCGAAAUGAUGUACCAAACAAUGUCAAACUCCGAAUACCUGUAAUGUCAUUAUCCAGCAGUGAGGCUAUGAGUGAUAAGAUCCAUGGCCAAGAGGGAAACAGCCCAGAACGCCAGUUAAGGUCCCUAAUAUAUGCUAAGUGGUUAAGGAGGUAGAGUUACUGAGACAACCAGGAGGUUGGCUUAGAAGCAGCCAUCCCUUGAAAGAGUGCGUAAUAGCUCACUGGUCAAGUGACUCCGCGCCGAAAAUACACCGGGACUAAAGCAUAUAACCGAAGCUGCGUCAUAUAGUUUACUAUAUGGGUAGGGGAGCGUACUGUAGUAAGACGAAGCUAGAGUGAAAACACUAGUGGAUGAGGCAGUAGUGAGAAUGUCGGCAUAAGUAGCGAAAACAUUGGUGAGAAUCCAAUGCACCGAAAACCUAAGGUUUCCCACGGCAGGCUCGUCCGCGUGGGGUUAGUCGGAUCCUAAGCUCAGGCCAAACGGCGUAGGCGAUGGACAAUAGGUUGAUAUUCCUAUACUAUCUGAUAAUCGUUAUCAGAAGCGGAGGGACGCAAGAGGAUAAGCACGCAGUCGACUGGAAGAGACUGUAUAAGCGUGUAGCUAGGUUUGACAGGAAAAUCCGUCAAAUCGUUAAUGUGAGGCGUGAUGUGGAGAGUCUACGGACUCGAAGGUGUUGACUCCAAAUUGCCAAGAAAAUCUUCGCUCUCGAGAUUAUUGGGUAUCCGUACCGUAAACCGCCACAGGUAGGUUGGUAGAAAAUACUAAGGUGCGCGAGACAACUCUCGCUAAGGAACUCGGCAAAAUCACCUCGUAACUUCGGGAGAAGAGGUACCCUGGUAGCGUGAAGCGAUUUACUCGUGAAGCGUGAUAGGGUCGCAGUGAAUAGGCCCAAGCGACUGUUUACCAAAAACACAGGUCUCUGCUAAGUCGAUCAAGACGAUGUAUAGGGGCUGACGCCUGCCCGGUGUCGGAAGGUUACGCGGAAAUGUUAGAAGCAAUUCAAAGCAUCGAAGCUAAGCCCCGAUGAACGGCGGCCGUAACUAUAACGGUCCUAAGGUAGCGAAAUUCCUUGUCAGGUA
This 2050-nucleotide ribosomal RNA is filed under the name human gut metagenome. RNAcentral describes it as "bacterial LSU rRNA". It matches the Rfam family "Bacterial large subunit ribosomal RNA", at positions 1 to 1978 of the family's 2925-position model. The record is from RNAcentral.